RNAcentral lists this ribosomal RNA (253 nucleotides) under uncultured bacterium. RNAcentral describes it as "partial 16S ribosomal RNA". It matches the Rfam family "Bacterial small subunit ribosomal RNA", at positions 524 to 776 of the family's 1533-position model. The record is from RNAcentral.
UACGUAGGGGGCAAGCGUUGUCCGGAAUCAUUGGGCGUAAAGAGCGUGUAGGCGGCUCGGUAAGUCCGCUGUAAAAGUCCAGGGCUCAACCCUGGAAAGCCGGUGGAAACUGUCGAGCUAGAGUCCGGAAGAGGCGAGUGGAAUUCCUGGUGUAGCGGUGAAAUGCGUAGAUAUCGGGAGGAACACCAGCGGCGAAGGCGACUUUCUGGCUGCUAACUGACGCUGAGACGCGAAAGCUAGGGGAGCGAACGGG